GCAGGGCAUGGAGGCUUACACUUGUAAUCCCAGCUGCUGGAAAGGCUGAAACUUGUAGAUUUCUUGAGUUUAGGAAUUCUGAACUGCAGUGGGCUGUGCCGAUCAGGCGUCCAUAAUAAGUUUGGCAUUGAUGUGGUAAGCCUUUGGCAACAGGGAGUAGUCAGCCCAGGUUGGAAACAGAAGAUGUCAAAGCUCCUGUACUGAUCAGUAGUGGGAUUAGCUCUGUGAAUAGCUCCUGAAUUUCAGGUCUAGAUGGGUAGAACCAGUCUCUA
Molecule: signal recognition particle RNA, 272 nt
Filed under: Vombatus ursinus (common wombat)
Lineage: Eukaryota; Metazoa; Chordata; Mammalia; Diprotodontia; Vombatidae
Description: Metazoan signal recognition particle RNA (ENSVURG00010006986.1)
Rfam family: Metazoan signal recognition particle RNA
About the family: The signal recognition particle (SRP) is a universally conserved ribonucleoprotein. It is involved in the co-translational targeting of proteins to membranes. The eukaryotic SRP consists of a 300-nucleotide 7S RNA and six proteins: SRPs 72, 68, 54, 19, 14, and 9.
Source: Rfam by way of RNAcentral